RNAcentral lists this long non-coding RNA (446 nucleotides) under Canis lupus familiaris (dog). RNAcentral's name for it is "lncRNA (ENSCAFG00040025445.1)". The record is from RNAcentral. Lineage: Eukaryota; Metazoa; Chordata; Mammalia; Carnivora; Canidae.
GGCCUGGAGUGGGCGGGGCCUGGGGGCCGGGCCGGGGCGCCCGAUGGGGGCGUGCACACUCCGCGGGGACACGCGCUCUGGGCCGCGGCAACUCGCUCCAAGUUCCCUCCCUCGCGCUCCGCGAAGCCCGCCCGAGCCCGCCCGAGCCCUCCCCUCCCCUCCUCUCCCCUCGGCGCGGACCUAGCCCUCCGCGGCCUCGCGCCCCGCGCCCCCGGCCCGCCGGCUCGGCUCCCCCCGGCCCCGCGGGGCGGCGCGAGGACUCGGCGGCGGCCCCCUCCCCGCGGGCCCGGGAGCCGACGCCGGCUGGGGCCGCACCUCCGGGACCGGGCAGCGCGGCCGAGAAAUCGCCGGCUGGACAUCCAGAGCACCUAGCCUGUUUUUUUCUGCAUCUUGAAUUGAGCAUUAACAGGACUCUUGAAGAGUACAUCCUGCAGAGAGUAGCUUAA